RNAcentral lists this long non-coding RNA (1765 nucleotides) under Homo sapiens (human). RNAcentral's name for it is "HSALNT0326183". The record is from RNAcentral. Lineage: Eukaryota; Metazoa; Chordata; Mammalia; Primates; Hominidae.
AUGAGUAGGGUUAGAGACGUGAUUCUAGCAUCAGCUGAAGUUUAAAGAUCAUCCCUGUAAACCUGCUCUGGCUUUCAGUUUUCAUAGAUGAUGUUUCCUUUUCCCAGGAAGGAGAUACAUGUUGGCAACAUCUAAACUUGUCUUGUUUAAUCUAAUAUCACUCAAUUCAUUUAGAGGCUUAGUCCUAGACUUUCCUCUCUUUGGUUUGUUUUUAUUGUAUUUCUGGAGAAAUGCAGCUCAAAGUGCUCUUGUGAAACUCGGUAAAAUUUUGCUUAGUUUUAAACCUACACCCCAGAUACAGGAUGUACUAGAGAUGGUUCUGGCUCUAACAAGAACACUGUGCCUACCACAAAGAUUUGAUUCCUACCUACAUAGUGCCUUGUGAUGAUUCCUGUAUUUUUGCCUUAAAUGGAAUUUAUGGAGAAGACAUUUUUGAGAUGCAGUCUUAGAGAUUAGUGAAGAUUUAACUAAAACAUUGAUACUACAUGGUCUAAAUGAGGCAGAGAGAGCAUUUUAGAUGUGAUUCCGUAAACCAGCAACUUUAUCAACCCGGAUAAGAAAAGUUCCAGGAAGUUCAAAGUAUCAAUGAAUUGGAUUAUUCUAUUGAUAUUUCACUUUUCAUGUGUAUUUUUCUAAUCUCCCAAUUGUGUUUUAGUUCCAUUGAGCUGGAACUUUUUCUUGCAUCCUGGAUAGCUCAUUCCCAAUAGGUCAACUCCAAAUAGACUCUGAAAGUUCAGCAAAUAUGUGAAAACAAAUCUACAAGUUUCAUGUCUAGAAAAUAAAACCUCAUUUUAAACAUUCAGAGUGGACAAUGAAUAUCUAAAUGUUGUCAUGCAGUGAUUAAUCUUCAGCUUGUCCAAAUGCCUCAAGCCGGAGUUUUAUUUUUGUAUCAGGCAGAAACAAAAAAGGCUGACAUUGACAGUGAGUCAGCUUAACUUCCCCCUCUUCCUUUUGUUAGUAAACAUGUGCUCACACACUCAUAAGUAUAGGUACUAAUUUAUUCCUUAAAGCUAUGAGAAAAUAAAAUCAGUUUCUAACUUCUUAAAUUUGAGGUUAUUAAUCAGAACUCAUUUUUAUAAGUCCUUUGCUUAAUUGCCCACCUAAAAUGCAAUUUCAAACCAUUUUUAAGAAAGAGUUUUGUCACUCCACUGAAAGUCAGAUUUCAAAUAUCACACUCCUGAAACAGAGAAGCUCUGCAGCUCUAGAAUUUGGUGUGAAAUUUCCAGGUCUCCUACUCUGUCAACCCAAUUCAUCUUCUUUUUCUUUUAAGACACAUCAGUUAUCUCAGGCCCUCUCUUCUCACUCACAUUGUACCUCUAUAUCCCCUAAACACCCAGGUAAAGAAUGAGAAUUUCAGUUCAUCUUGUGAGUUGUUUAUGUAAAAUCCUUUUUUUUUUUUUUUUUUGAGACAGGGUCUCACUCUGUCACCCAGGCUGGAGUGCAGUGGUGCAAACACAUUGAACCAUGUUCAGUGGCUGAACCUCCUGGGCUCAGGCUAUCCUCCCGCCUCAGCCUCCCCAGUAGCUGAGACCACAGGCAGACACCACCAUGCCCACCUAAUUUUGUUUACUUUUUGUAGAGAUGAGGUCUCACUAUGUUGCCCACAUUGGUCGCGCACUCCUGGGCCCAAGCAAUCAUCCCAUCUCAGCCUCCCAAAGUGUUGGAAUUACAAGUGUGAGCCACCACACCCAGCCAAAAAAUGUUUUACAUAAAAUCAUAACAUACUUUUUUCAAAGUGGAUGUUAUCUUUUGAAAUGUUACUGUG